UGAGGAAUAUUGGACAAUGGGCGCAAGCCUGAUCCAGCCAUGCCGCGUGCAGGAUGACGGUCCUAUGGAUUGUAAACUGCUUUUGUACAGGAAGAAACAGUUCUACGUGUAGAACCUUGACGGUACUGUAAGAAUAAGGAUCGGCUAACUCCGUGCCAGCAGCCGCGGUAAUACGGAGGAUCCAAGCGUUAUCCGGAAUCAUUGGGUUUAAAGGGUCCGUAGGCGGUUAGAUAAGUCAGUGGUGAAAGCCCAUCGCUCAACGGUGGAACGGCCAUUGAUACUGUCUGACUUGAAUUAUUAGGAAGUAACUAGAAUAUGUAGUGUAGCGGUGAAAUGCUUAGAGAUUACAUGGAAUACCAAUUGCGAAGGCAGGUUACUACUAAUGGAUUGACGCUGAUGGACGAAAGCGUGGGUAGCGAACAGGAUUAGAUACCCCCGUAGUCCCUGAGCGGGCUGGCAAGGCGCAU
RNAcentral lists this ribosomal RNA (467 nucleotides) under uncultured bacterium. RNAcentral describes it as "bacterial SSU rRNA". It matches the Rfam family "Bacterial small subunit ribosomal RNA", at positions 355 to 825 of the family's 1533-position model. The record is from RNAcentral.